RNAcentral lists this long non-coding RNA (411 nucleotides) under Nicotiana tabacum (common tobacco). Its description in RNAcentral is "long non-coding RNA (NTAB_LNC017907)". Lineage: Eukaryota; Viridiplantae; Streptophyta; Magnoliopsida; Solanales; Solanaceae. The record is from RNAcentral.
AAAGAUAUAUUGAAGAGCAAAGAGGGAUCUAAGCAGCAAGAAGAGUAUCUUUUUCUCAAUUCCAAAUUUUGUAUUGAAAUCCAAGCCCCCCCUUAUCCCAUUCAUUUUCACACAAACACAGAGAGUGCCCCUAUCUCUACUCCCAUGGCAUCUCUCAAUAUUCCUCCUUUCUCCAAAACCCUACACCCUAACUCUCAAUUCCAAAACCUCCCUAAAACCCCAACUUUUCUCCUCUCACUUUCCUCCUACCCUUUUGUCAGCACCUCUCUCUCUUCAAUUCCACUAGGAAAAAGUUCAAGACUCCCAGUUGUAAGAGCCAUUUCUGAUGGGGAAUACUCUUCUAAGAGGAGCAGUAGCAGCGAGGAAAGGGAGACUAUUAUGUUACCUGGCUGUGACUAUAACCAUUGGCUU